Long non-coding RNA from Alligator sinensis (Chinese alligator), 2570 nucleotides. RefSeq lists it as uncharacterized. The transcript is spliced from 4 exons. Lineage: Eukaryota; Metazoa; Chordata; Crocodylia; Alligatoridae. The record is from RefSeq and is a predicted model, not a curated record.
CUGAACAAGCAGGGUGGAAUCUGGCCAAUUCUUAUCCCAGUCUCCCGAACGCCCACCGAUAUCCAAAACCCGGGUGACCCCUCCGUACCCCGAAUGAGUGAUCUCUCCCAGGGGAGCGAAUAACUGCAGUAUCUGUAACAGCUUUAAGAACACUGAGCCUCACUACCAACUUUCCUGGUGAGCCCAAUCCGUUGUUCAGGAGAGGUCAUGAAUCCACGGCUCUGCCUCAGCUUGGCGUGGUCUCGCAGCGGCUCUGCUUGUCUUCUUCCCCAGAUUUGUUUUUCAGCUUCAGGCUUUCUAAUGGGAGAACGUUCUACUUAACACAAAACCUAUGAUUCUGAGUCUACCUGGACAUAUUGAGGGGCAAACUUGUCCUGGCACACUACUGCUGUUAUGUAUUAUACUGCUGUUUCUUGCUUUUCUGGCUGCAGUUUUUCCAUUUCUGACAUGGAUUUUCUAUUUAUUUAAUUUGAUCCAUUUAAUCCAUUCCUCAGUGUAAUACAAGGGUGUGAAUUAAAGGAUUUUGGUUGUUAUUUUUGAAAAACAGAAGACUGGGGCAGGGAAGAAAUGCACACAAUUUUUUUAUAGCCCUGCCAGUUGUACAAAUAAUCCUAAUCCCCAACUCCCCUAUCAUAAGUAACUUGCUAUCUGGGCCCUCUAUAUAGGUGCCAAACCAUUCUGAAUAUGAAGCUCCGAAUAUGUCUCUUCAUUUGCAACUAAAUAUGUACCCUCUGAUUUAUACAACAUGCAGUUAUACAAUUGCAGCAGAAAUAUCAGCAAAGGUUAGCAAGGAUUUUGAAUCAUGAAUAAAAGAUACAGGCCCCUGUCCAGCAAAAUACUUAUGCAUACGUUUAAGUCCAUGAGCAUAGUCCUAUUGACUUCAAAGGAACUACUCAUGUGCAAAAGGUUAUAUAGUGUAUAGUGAUUUGUAGGAUCAGAGUCUAGAUUAGGGCUGUCUGACUGGUGGCCUGUGGGCUGUGUGCAAGGUUAUAUACAGCCCCCCCAGUUCUUGCCCAGCUGCUGCUUCCCCCAUCACUUCUGCUGCUGUGGUGGCUGAGUUCUCCAGGCUCUCCCGCCAUCAACCAGCUUCUGUUCCUGCCCCUGCUCUAGGGGGUGGCUGGCAGAAGGACACUGGAUAUGCAUUAAGGGGAGAUCAAGGAUACCCGUACAUCAAGAGAGGGGAUUGUCUGCUCAGGCUGCAUGCACGACAAAAAAAAAAGGCUUUGCCGCUUGUACAGCCAGCACAGGAGAAAGGAGCUGGGUUGGUUGUACUGACCACACAACAGAGGGGAGCCAGGCUGCUCAUCCAGUGUGGGGGACACCAAGGAGGGUCUCCCAUAUGGUGGGUGACCUGGAGUUUGUGGCCCAUGGGGUCUGCAGCCCCAUGCCAUCCAGAAAUUGGGCAGCCAGGGCCUAAAUGAUAUUUGGUAUAGAUGCAAGGAAAGGAUGGGUCUUGUGGGUCUUGACCAUGCCAGAUGGUAAGACCUCUAGCAAAACACAUAGGCAAAUACAGAGAUAGAAGUGGGAAUGUUGGCCCCCUGGGUAAAGGUGGGGGUGCUAAGUGGCAAAAAGUCUUAUCAGAAGCAGAUACCCCUGCUAUUGCUGCUGGCAGCCCAGGCUGUCCACACACUGGCAACAACUGCUGCUGCUGUUGUAUACAGGUUCCUGCUGUCACCAUUGUGUAAGCUUCCCUGAGGCCACCAUUCUGGUGGUGCCCUCUAAGCUGUGCCCAGGGCUGGUGCCCCACUUGUGUACUCCUAGUUACAUGACUGAGUACACACUUACUUUUUAAGCACUUAAACAGCUUCACCGAAGUUCAUAAUGGAACUAAUAAGAUUAAGGAUAUAUUUACACUAUUGACAGCAGUGUCAUGUAGAGCUACUCCAGCUUGCUUGGAUAUAUGAAGCAAUUUACCAAUGACAGUGUGUAAGGAAAAGCGGGGACCUGCAGAAUGUGCAGGGGAAAUGACUCCCACAGCAGUUCCCCUCUCCUCUUCUACACUUCACUGGGGGAAUUAUUGCCCCUGCACACAUCUGCAAGUGACAAAAGUACACUAGGCCCCAGAGCGCUUAUUAUGGUGCCACACCCUGGGUCAACACGCAGUGCACAAAUGCAGAUGGGGCAAGGGAGAGGGGAGAUCCCCAUGGAAGUUCCCCCAACUCUGUACUUGAAUCCCCUCAACACGGGAUCCCCUCUGGUAUGCAAGUGCAGAGGAUUGAGCCCUUUUCCUGCAUGCAGAUGUGUCCCCCAAGUCAGGGCGUGGUACCCAGGGCCCUUUUCCUACAGUUUUGAGCCCCUGGAUUACUGAGAGGGGCAGGGGACUGACCCAGUGGGACAACAGCCCUGGUGACAUCUGCAGAUGUCAUUUAAGCAAAGCAGCUGUGCCCUGACAUGUUGCGGUACAGCUGAUUGCAAUUCAAAGAGGAUGUCUGUUUCCAGCAUAAGUGUCAUACCCUCAAUGCAGAAAGGUGCAGAGUACAUUAGCUCAGUCUGACCUCUAUGCUGCUAUGGCAAGACUGUUUCUAUAACUGAGAUAAGUCAUUAAAAUUAAGCCCCUUGCAAAUAUUAAG